This is a non-coding RNA of Paramuricea clavata, 202 nucleotides long. NCBI's taxonomy places the organism in Eukaryota, Metazoa, Cnidaria, Anthozoa, Malacalcyonacea, Plexauridae. The record is from the annotation of a GenBank genome assembly.
GGAUAUUUCAUCCCGGUUGACAGGGCUGAAAUUCAGGCCGGGUUGAAAUUUUCAUCCCGGUUUAUGUCACCCAGGAUGAGAUUUUCAGCCCUGUCAACCCGGAUGAAAUAUCCCAUGCGUAAUUGCAAAUAAUUAUGCAACCACAGUCUUACACAAGUCAAAUAGUCGACUAAUUAAUCGGCGUUUUAAGAGGCUGUCUCCG